AUGGUGAACUUUAUAGUAGAUCAGAUCUGAGCCACCAAGGACAAGAAGGCCAACAUCCAGAACGUGUCUCAUCACACACAUGGACCAUAUCAAGUACAUGCUGACAGAUUCACUGGUGUGUACAGCAGGCACGGGCUUCACAGACACAAGGAGGAGCAGGAGAGCUGUAUCACCAUCAAGUCCACCGCCCUGAACAACCUGAACUUCAUCAAGCAGAGCAAGGACAGGUCAGCUUCCACAUCAACCUCACUGACUCCUUGGGCCACGUUGACUUCUCUGUGGUGAUGGGUGACUCACAUCAAGGAUGGUGCUCUGGUCAUGGUGGACUAUGUGUCCAGCACAUGCCUGCAAACGGAGACGGUGCUGCAACAGGCCAUCACUGAGUGCAUCAAGCCAGUGCUGAUGAUGAACAAGAUGGACCACGCACUGCUGGAGCUGCAGCUGGAACCUGAGGCGCUCUACCACACCUUCCAGCACAUUGUAGAGAAUGUGAACAUCAUCAUCUCCACCUACCUCAAGGGAGAGUGGACCCAUGGUCAGCAUCAGGAUCAACCCUGUCCUGGGCAUCAUGGACUUUGACUCUGGCCUGCAAGGCUAGGCCUUCACCCUGAAGCAGUUUGCAGAGACAUUUGCCACCAAGUUGGCCACCAAGGGCAAGUGCCAGCUGGGGCCUGCCGAAUGUGCCAAGAAAGUAGAGGACAUGAUGAAGAGGCUGUGGGGGAACCAGUACUUCAACACAGCCAACCACAAGUUCAGCAAGAAUGCCAACAGCAAGAAGCUACGGUGCACUUUCUGCCAGUUCAUCCUUGACCCCUCUUCAAGAUUUUCGAUGCCAUCAUGAACUUCAAGAAGGAGGAGACAUCAAGCUGAUUGAGAAGCUGGACAUCAAGCUAGACUGUGAGGACAAGGGCAAAUAGGGGCAAGCCUCUGCUAAAGGCUGUGAUGCACCGCUGGCUGCCAGCCUGGGGUCGUUGCUAGAGAUGAUCACCAUCCACUUGCCUUUACUAGUCACCGCACAGAAGUACCACUGUGAGUUGUUCUAUGAGGGGCAGCCAGAUGAUGAGGCUGCCAUGGGCAUCAAAAGCUGUGACCCCGAAACGUCCCUUGAAGACCUACAUCUCCAAGAUGGUGUGACCUCUGACAAGGGGCACUUCUAUGCCUUUGAGUGCGUGUUCCGGGGGGUGGUGUCCACAGGCCUGGAGGUCUGCAUUAUGGGCCCCAACUACACUCCAGGGAAGAAGGAGGACCUAUACCUAAAGCCCAUGCAGAGAACCAUCCUGCUGAUGGGCCACUACAGAGGAUGUGUCCUGUGGCAACAUGGUGGGGCUCGUGGGUUUGGAACAUUUUCUGGUGAAGAAAAGCACCAUCACCACCUUCAAGCACACAACAUGCAUGUGAUGAAAUUCAGUUCAACAUCAUCCCUGUUGUCAGGGUGGCCUUGGAAGCCAAGAACCCUGCCUGCCGAAGCUGAUGGAGGGGCUCAAGUGGCUGGCCAACCCGGUGGUGCAGUGUAUCUUCAAGGAGUCUCACUGCAGGCACAGCCAUGCUGCAGCAUCUGGAGAUCUACCUCAAAGACCUGGAGGAAGAACACUCCUGCAUCCCCAUUAGGUAAGGCCCCACAGUGUCCUACCUGGAGACAGCAAGCAAGGAGUCAAACCUGCUAUUCCUGUCCAAGUCCCCCAACAAACACAACCAGCUCUGCAUGAAAGUCGGGCCCUUCACUGAUGGCCUUGCUGAGGACAUCGACAAGGGCGAGGUGUCUGCCCACCAGGAGCUUAAGGCACGUGUGUGUUACCUGGCUGAGAAUACGAGUGGGAUGUGGCUGAGGACUGCAAGAUUUGGUGCUUUGGGCUGGAUGGCAUGGCCUGAACACCCUCACUGACAUCACCAAGGGUAUAUAUUACCUCAGUGAAAUCAAGGAGAGCAUGGUGGCCAGCUUCCAGUGGGCCACUAAGGAGGGUGCACUCUGUGAGGCAAACAUGCAUGGUGUGAGCUUCGAUGUCCAUGAUGUGACCCAGCACGCUGAUGCCAUCCACUGUGGUAGUGGCCAGAUCAUCCCAUAGCCUGCUGUGGCCCCAAUGCCAGUGUGUUGACCUCACAGCCCCACCUCAUGGAGCCCAUCUACCUCGUGGAGAUCCAGUGUCUGGAGCAGGUGGUCGGUGGCAUCUAUGGAGUCCUGAACAGGAAGCAGGGCCACGUGUUUGAGGAGUCUGAGGGGGCCGACACACCCAUGUUCAUAGUAAAGGCCUGUCAAGGAGUCCUUUGGUGUCACCACCAACAAGGGGCUUUCCAAAGCCGACAGCCUGGCCUUCCUGCAGUGCAUGUUCUACUACUUGGAAGUCUCUGCCUGGAGACGCCUUUGAGCACAGCAGCUGCUCCAGCCACAGGGGUGGCGGAAUGCACAAGCGCAAAGGCCUGAAGCAGGGCAUCCGGUCCUGGACAACUUCGAAGACAAACUGUAG
Nannospalax galili (Upper Galilee mountains blind mole rat) is the source of this 2462-nucleotide RNA transcript. It is a transcript of the gene named elongation factor 2 pseudogene, with no coding region annotated. NCBI's taxonomy places the organism in Eukaryota, Metazoa, Chordata, Mammalia, Rodentia, Spalacidae. The transcript has a single exon. The record is from RefSeq and is a predicted model, not a curated record.